AGGAAGUGUGUAGAGGGUGAUACUUCUCUUCUUGACAUCCAUUAGUCAACACAUCUAGUUUGUCAUAUCUUCUUAGUAAGACACAUGGAUACUCAACCGAGCUCUACUCCUCAAGGAUCCCCUACUCCUCAAGGCUCCCCUGCUCUUACAGUCCCUACUUCACAGGCUACAUCUAAGAAAAAGAGGAAGCCGAAACGAAUGAAAAGUUUAGCCCAUAAGCGCAUGAAAGGGCCCAAAAUAUCACUUGAUGUGGAUCCCACUACUAGGAUAGUUUCAGGGCCAAACAAAGCUCAAUUUUCAAGUUAUUUGGGAACCCUUGCUAGAGACAAGAUUAAUAUUUUAGUCCCUUCUUGGAAAGAAGUCCCACAAACUACUAAAAACUUGAUUUGACAGGAUAUUUUAGUAUUUUCACUAUAUUUAAAUAAUUUGACAAAAAUGAUAAUCAUUUUUUAUGUUAUUAUUAUUAACUCUUAAAUCUGAAAUUAUUUUGUAGGGAAUGUAUGACAUCAGUGAUACUAAUAUAUUGAAGAGUAAAAUGCUUUCAUCUGUUGCUACAAAAUUUAGGCAACAUAAGUCUUAUCUUACAAGGGAGUGGGUACAUGGAAAAUACAAGGGUAAAAGCCCUUGUGAUGAGUAUAAUAUUGAUCAUGAAGAAUAAGAAAAAUUUAAAGAAAUUCGAAAUGACCAUUCUUGGAAGCUUGUAAGAAAAAAAGCACAAGAUAUCCAGAAACUUAAUAAUGCUCCCCACCUAUUAUCUCGUGGGGUUAUGAGCUACUUGUGAGAAAUUUUAUGAAAAGUGAAAUUAAGAGACUUAAGGAGGAAGCAAUACAAUCCAGUGCUAGUAAGGAUGUAGUGAUUAAUCCUCCACCUCCUCCUCCACGCCAUAGGUUGUGGAGCAUGGCUCGCACAAAAAUUUCGGGUGAGAUGACGUCUGAGUCUGCUAAACAAGUUGCAGAAAAAAUUGUAAGUAUUUUUUUUAAUAAAAAAAUUUCAUUACCUAUCUUAAGAUUUGUUGUAGAAUUUUUUAUUGUAAGAUAUAUUAUAAACAAAGUUUAUUUAUUGUAGAAUGUGUUGGAGGAACAAACAUCACAAGGUUCUUUUAUUCCCGAAGGUCGUCAAGAUAUAUUAAAUACUGUCCUUGGGCGACCAGAGCACCCUAGUCGUGUUCAUACAACUGGGGAUGGUGCUACUAUUAGUAAUUACUUUGGACCAUUGUGAAAAGGCUCAUCCUUAUCUAAAUUGAGCCCCCAGGAUUUUGAAGCCCUCACACAACAAAUAUAUGUACGGGUCACACAAAGUUUAAUGUCAAAGUACCCAAAUAUGAGUGCUCAACAGUUAGGAUGUUCCUCCAUGCAUAACUCACAUUGAUUGGAGAUAUCAGCAUGAGGCUCACCCCUAAAGGGAUUACCAACAACAGUAGCACUUGAAGGAGUUGAACAACUACAUUUAGUGCUAACACGAGGCACGAUAGCAUGAUCUACCUCAAUUGGAGGAACAUCCUGUGAUUGUUGAGCACUCAUAUUUUAGUACUUUGACAUUAAACUUUGUGUGACCCGUACAUAUAUUUGUUGUGUGAGGGCUUCAAAAUCCUGGGGGCUCAAUUUAGAUAAGGAUGAGCCUUUUGACAAUGGUCCAAAGUAAUUACUAAUUGUAGCACCAUCCCCAGCUAUACGAACACGACCAGGGUGCUCUGGUCACCCAAGGGCAGUAUUCAAUAUAUCUUGACGACCUUCGGGAAUAAAAGAACCUUGUGAUGUUUGCUCCUCCAACACAUUCUACAAUAAAUAAACUUUGUUCAUAAUAUAUCCUACAAUAAAAAAUUCUACAAUAAAUCUUAAGAUAGGUAAUGAGAUUUUUUUAUUAAAAAAAAUACUUACAAUUUUUUCUACAACUUGUUUAGCAGACUCAGACGUCAUCUCACCUGAACUUUUUGUGCGAGCCAUGCUCCACAACCUAUGGCGUGGAGGAGGAGGUGGAAGAUCAAUCACAACAUCCUCACUAGCACCAGAUUGUAUUGCUUCCUCCUUAAGUCUCUUAAUUUCACUUUUCAUAAAAUUUCUCACAAGCAGCUCAUAACUCCCACGAGAUAAUAGGUGGGGAACAUUAUUAAGUUUCUGGAUAUCUUGUGCUUUUUUUUUUCUUACAAGCUGCAAUAAUUUAAUAACCCCAUAAGUAACAGUGAAAAAUAUAAUAUAAAUUUUAAAAAUAGUAAACACUACUUACCUUCCAAGAAGGGUCAUUUCGAAUUUCUUUAAAUUUUUCCCAUUCUUUAGGAUCAAUAUUAUACUCAUCACAAGGGCUUUUACCCUUGUAUUUCCCAUGUACCCAAUAAGAUAAGACUUAUGUUGCCUAAAUUUUGGAGCAACAGAUGAAAACAUUUUACUCUUCAAUAUAGUAGUAUCGCUGAUGUCAUACACUCCCUACAAAACAAUUUCAGAUUUAAGAGUUAAUAAUAAUAACAUUAAAAAUGAUUAUCAUUUUGUCAAAUUAUGUAAAUAUAGUGGAAAUACUAAAAUAUCCUGUCAAAUCAUGUUUUUAGUAGUUUGUGGGACUUCUUUCCAAGAAGGGACUAAAAUAUUAAUCUUGUCUCUAGCAAGGGUUCCCAAAUAACUUGAAAAUUGAGCUUUGUUUGGCCCUGAAACUAUCCUAGUAGUGGGAUCCACAUCAAGUGAUAUUUUGGGCCCUUUCAUGCGCUUACGGGCUAAACUUUUCAUUCGUGUCGACUUCCUCUUUUUCUUAGAUGUAGCCUGUGAAGUAGGGACUGUAGGAGCAGGGGAGCCUUGAGGAGUAGGGGAGCCUUGAGGAGCAGGGGAUCUUUGAGGAGUAGAGCUCGGUUGAGUAUCCAUGUGUCUGUUUUGACAAAAAAAAUAACCAAGGUCAAUUGGAAAAGAAGUAAUAAAAUGAAUUAAAAACAUGAAAAAAUGAAUGAAUAGAAUAUUAAAUUAUACAUCAAGAUAAACAUAACUUAAUGCGGUAAUUAAAUAGUAAUGUUUUCCCAUAUGCCUUCAUCAUGGUCAUUACGAGUGGCAUGAACGUCGUCUUGCUCAAUUUCUUCGUUGUUAGUAGGCAUACAUGUUGAGAAAGAAAGACUCUCCCAAAAUUCAAUUGU
Molecule: non-coding RNA, 3109 nt
Organism: Cajanus cajan (pigeon pea)
Lineage: Eukaryota; Viridiplantae; Streptophyta; Magnoliopsida; Fabales; Fabaceae
Source: RefSeq, a predicted model, not a curated record